This is a long non-coding RNA of Mirounga angustirostris (Northern elephant seal), 1463 nucleotides long. RefSeq lists it as uncharacterized. Lineage: Eukaryota; Metazoa; Chordata; Mammalia; Carnivora; Phocidae. The record is from RefSeq and is a predicted model, not a curated record. The transcript has 3 exons.
GUGUGUGCGCAGGUCUGCGGGCGGGAAACCGCGGGAGCCGGGGCCGGCCGGGUGUCCGCAGUCCCGGGCCCGCGUCGCGGCGCAGCUGCGGAGCCCGCAGGUUGUGGCGGCGCCGGGGCUGCUAAGCCGCGCUCGCCCUGUGGUGCGCCCCCUUCCCACGCUCUUUCAGAGCGAACCACACCUUCCUGCUUUCUGUGCGUCCUCCCCAGCCUCAGCCAAAAAGGGUUAAGGACUGGGCCGCGCUCCGCUUCCCACAACGGGGUGCUGCUGCGAGUCCGAGUGCGUCCCAGGAACUCUCCACGGUGAUGCAGGCCCCAUAUUUUACAGGUGAAGAAGCCAAGACCCAGAGACCUUCAAGAUCUGACCCUCGCCAAGCAGUGGUACAAAAAUGCGAAUGAACAUGGGGGAGUGUAUCCCUAAAUAUUAUCAGCGACUGCAGAUCCAGAAGAUGAUUGGCAGGCAGCCCAACUUGAAGCUUUUUGUGCAGGCCUUCUAGGCAUGGUCAGCAACGUACUUAAAGGGUCCCUCCUCUUGACUUCACCGUCUUCUCAGCCUCACAGUUUGGCUGUUCCAUCAUUUCCUCUUCUCCAAUUUACUCGGCUUAUGAUGGGUUACCUCUGGAUAUGCCAAAAAGGGAAAACUGGCAGUCCACACUGGGCCAGAGAAGAUUGGGAACAUCCUUGAAACAAAAGGAGUUUCGGCAGCUGCUUGGGAAUAUCCCUCAAAGUCCCAGGCCCAAGGAUCUUUUAUCAAGAUUUGAGAGAGAGAAAGAGUGCAUGGGGGGGAAGGGCAGAGGGAGAGAGAAUCUCAAGCAGACUCCCCGCUGAGUGUGGAGCUUGACACGGAGCUGGAUCUCGUGACCAUGAGCCGAAACCAAGAGUCGGACGCUCAACCAACUGAGCCACCCAGGUACACCUCACAAUAACAGAACACUCACAUCUAUCUACUGGUUAUUGGUGAAUUGAAUACUUAUGUGCUAAGCUCUGGAUAAUGAAAGAAGUACAUGCUAUCCCUGUAGGUUGAGACUUUGUGAAUGUUCUAGAAGUAUGAAUAGUAAAAUUUUAUCUGACCUCUGCUAACAUGGGUCUGUCGCUGCCCAUUUCCACAGAGCAGUCUGACUGAGAUGGCUUUGGGGAGAGGGCGAAGAGAUGACAGAGGCCCUUAAGCCUUGCUGACUCUACAGAAACUGCACUUAACUCCUUCACUCCAGUGUCCUUAUUAACCAUUCCCUGGUUAGUUAUGCACUGUGUGGCACGUGGUCCACCCUUGCACUGUGCUCGACUAGUUUUUUUCUGAUUUCUGUCUUAGAGGAUUUUAACCAUGAAUCCCUUUACAACUUUCCUUCUAGACAGGUCUGUUGGGUUAAUGCCUCUGCAGACCUGGCCUCAGCCACUGCUACUCACUGCUUCCCCCAUCCUAACAGCUGGGCCAGAUGCCUUUCAGAGUCAGCAAAACCUGUUUUU